This 16-nucleotide small RNA is filed under the name Bombyx mori (domestic silkworm). RNAcentral describes it as "ovarian small RNA-29109". The record is from RNAcentral. Lineage: Eukaryota; Metazoa; Arthropoda; Insecta; Lepidoptera; Bombycidae.
UCGUACGCACCUGAAA